GAAUUGUUCGCAAUGGGCGCAAGCCUGACGACGCAACGCCGCGUGGAGGAUGAAGAUCUUCGGGUCGUAAACUCCCGUCGACCGGGACGAAUGCCGCGUGGGUGAAUAACCUGCGCGGGUGACGGUACCGGUGGAGGAAGCCCCGGCUAACUCCGUGCCAGCAGCCGCGGUAAUACGGGGGGGGCAAGCGUUGUUCGGAAUUACUGGGCGUAAAGGGCUCGUAGGCGGCCAACUCAGUCGGACGUGAAAGCCCUCGGCUUAACCGGGGAACGGCGUCCGAUACUGGUUGGCUUGAAUCCGGGAGAGGGAUGUGGAAUUCCAGGUGUGGCGGUGAAAUGCGUAGAUAUCUGGAGGAACACCGGUGGCGAAGGCGACAUCCUGGACCGGCAUUGACGCUGAGGCGCGAAAGCCAGGGGAGCAAAC
Molecule: ribosomal RNA, 423 nt
Filed under: uncultured bacterium
Lineage: Bacteria
Description: bacterial SSU rRNA
Rfam family: Bacterial small subunit ribosomal RNA
Source: RNAcentral